This is a transfer RNA of 86 nucleotides. It matches the Rfam family "tRNA". Rfam says of the family: Transfer RNA (tRNA) molecules are approximately 80 nucleotides in length. Their secondary structure includes four short double-helical elements and three loops (D, anti-codon, and T loops).
GCUGAGGUGGCAGAACUAGGCUAAUGCGCCAGCCUCGAGAGCUGGUGUCCCUUUGGGACGUCAGGGUUCAAAUCCCUGCCUCAGCG